UGUGUCGAGGGAUAGACACAGGCCGCCAGGAUGGUAGCCAGGAAAACCGCAGGAAGUGGUUUCAUCAGGACGAUGAAAUAGGAAAUAAAGGGAGUAGGGACAAAAGAAUGGGCGGGUAAAACCGCCCCUUUUUUU
RNAcentral lists this small RNA (135 nucleotides) under Pseudomonas cuatrocienegasensis. The record is from RNAcentral. RNAcentral also lists the same sequence under 1 other name. Lineage: Bacteria; Pseudomonadati; Pseudomonadota; Gammaproteobacteria; Pseudomonadales; Pseudomonadaceae.